UUUAGGGAGACCUACCCCAUCGACAACUGAAAUCAUUCAGAGAAUAGGUUGAGAUGAGGUCAUCCCAAGGUCGUUCGAGAUAAGGACAGAUUGGCUUUCAAACUAGGUUCAGAUCUUAGGAGAUUCAGAUUUUGGGAGACUACAGUUGGUAACCUUUACAGGUCUGCUAAUUGAGAAUCAACCAAGAAAUUGAGCACCAAAAGAAGAUUGAGUUCAUUCAGCAAUUCAUCGAGUUGUGUCGCCUCAAGUGAAGAGUGAGGAACUGGACUGGAGAGCCUGCUGGGUGAGAACUCAGUAUCUGAGUGAGGAACUCAGGUGAGGACCUUGAAAACUGCAUAGAGAAGAAAGAGUAAGUCAGGUAGAACAUUGUUAUUGGGCCUGAGUUCUGCUGAGAGUUAAAGCAGGGAAGGUUAGCGAUAACCCGACCCGGGUGAUGACGGAGGCAAGAGAUUCAGAGACAUUCAGUCAAUUAAUUGGAGUUGACUGAGUGAACUAAUAACAAAUUUACAGACACCAAUGAAACUCAAGUAAUGAAACUGGGGCGAAGCGACUCAAGGAAUUGAGAUUCAAGGAAUUGAGAUUCAAGGAAUUGAGAUUCAAGGAAUUGAGGAUGAGGCGCAGUAGUUUCGAGCAAAGAAUUACCUAGU
This 647-nucleotide unclassified non-coding RNA is filed under the name Pinocchia polymorpha E10. RNAcentral's name for it is "16S-23S ribosomal RNA intergenic spacer". The record is from RNAcentral. Lineage: Bacteria; Bacillati; Cyanobacteriota; Cyanophyceae; Leptolyngbyales; Trichocoleusaceae.